RNAcentral lists this ribosomal RNA (891 nucleotides) under uncultured organism. Its description in RNAcentral is "bacterial SSU rRNA". It matches the Rfam family "Bacterial small subunit ribosomal RNA", at positions 13 to 898 of the family's 1533-position model. The record is from RNAcentral.
UUGAUCCUGGCUCAGGAUGAACGCUAGCGGCAGGCUUAACACAUGCAAGUCGAGGGGUAACGACUCCGUCUUCGGAUGGAGGUCGACGACCGGCGCACGGGUGAGUAACGCGUAUGCAACCUACCUUUUACAGGAGGAUAGCCCAGGGAAAUUUGGAUUAAUACUCCAUAGUACUAAUGAAUCACCUGGUUUAUUAGUUAAAACUCCGGUGGUAAAAGAUGGGCAUGCGUGUCAUUAGCUAGUUGGUAAGGUAACGGCUUACCAAGGCGAAGAUGACUAGGGGUUCUGAGAGGAAGAUCCCCCACACUGGUACUGAGACACGGACCAGACUCCUACGGGAGGCAGCAGUGAGGAAUAUUGGUCAAUGGGUGAGAGCCUGAACCAGCCAUGCCGCGUGAAGGAAGACUGCCCUAUGGGUUGUAAACUUCUUUCCUGCAGGAAGAAAUCACUCUACGUGUAGGGUGUUGCCGGUACUGCAGGAAUAAGCAUCGGCUAACUCCGUGCCAGCAGCCGCGGUAAUACGGAGGAUGCAAGCGUUAUCCGGAUUUAUUGGGUUUAAAGGGUGCGUAGGCGGGCUUGUAAGUCAGUGGUGAAAUGCUGUGGCUUAACCAUAGAAUUGCCAUUGAAACUGCAAGUCUUGAGUACAGUUGAGGUGGGCGGAAUGAGUAAUGUAGCGGUGAAAUGCAUAGAUAUUACUCAGAACUCCGAUUGCGUAGGCAGCUUGCUAAACUGUAACUGACGCUGAUGCACGAAAGCGUGGGGAGCGAACAGGAUUAGAUACCCUGGUAGUCCACGCUGUAAACGAUGAGCACUGGUUGUUGGCAAUACACCGUCAGCGACUGAGCGAAAGUAUUAAGUGCUCCAGCUGGGGAGUACGUCGGCAACGAUGAA